CCUACGGGUGGCAGCAGUGGGGAAUAUUGGACAAUGGGGGAAACCCUGAUCCAGCCAUGCCGCGUGAGUGAUGAAGGCCUUAGGGUUGUAAAGCUCUUUCGCCAGGGAAGCGGUACCUGGAAAAGAAGCCUCGGCUAACUCCGUGCCAGCAGCCGCGGUAAGACGGAGGAGGCUAGCGUUGUUCGGAAUUACUGGGCGUAAAGCGUGCGCAGGUUGUGAGUUCAGUUGGAUGUGAAAGCCCGGGGCUUAACCUCGGAUGUGCAUCCAAUACUGGCUCGCUGGAGGUUGGAAGAGGAGAGUGGAAUUCCCAGUGUAGAGGUGAAAUUCGUAGAUAUUGGGAAGAACACCAGUGGCGAAGGCGGCUCUCUGGUCCAUCCUGACACUCAUGCACGAAAGCGUGGGGAGCAAACAGGAUUAGAUACCCUUGUAGUC
This 432-nucleotide ribosomal RNA is filed under the name uncultured bacterium. RNAcentral describes it as "partial 16S ribosomal RNA". It matches the Rfam family "Bacterial small subunit ribosomal RNA", at positions 338 to 795 of the family's 1533-position model. The record is from RNAcentral.